CCAUCGGUGAUUCAGUGGUAGAAUGCUCGUCUGCCACGCGGGCGGCCCGGGUUCGAUUCCCGGCCAAUGCA
Molecule: transfer RNA, 71 nt
Filed under: Cordylochernes scorpioides
Lineage: Eukaryota; Metazoa; Arthropoda; Arachnida; Pseudoscorpiones; Chernetidae
Description: tRNA-Gly
Rfam family: tRNA
About the family: Transfer RNA (tRNA) molecules are approximately 80 nucleotides in length. Their secondary structure includes four short double-helical elements and three loops (D, anti-codon, and T loops).
Source: RNAcentral